GACGAACGCUGGCGGCGUGCUUAACACAUGCAAGUCGAACGGAAAGGCCCUGCUUGCAGGGUACUCGAGUGGCGAACGGGUGAGUAACACGUGGGUGAUCUGCCCUGCACUUCGGGAUAAGCCUGGGAAACUGGGUCUAAUACCGGAUAGGAGCCAUUUUUAGUGUGAUGGUUGGAAAGUUUUUUCGGUAUAGGAUGAGCUCGCGGCCUAUCAGCUUGUUGGUGGGGUAAUGGCCUACCAAGGCGGCGACGGGUAGCCGGCCUGAGAGGGUGGACGGCCACAUUGGGACUGAGAUACGGCCCAGACUCCUACGGGAGGCAGCAGUGGGGAAUAUUGCACAAUGGGCGCAAGCCUGAUGCAGCGACGCCGCGUGGGGGAUGACGGCCUUCGGGUUGUAAACUCCUUUCGCUAGGGACGAAGCUUUUUGUGACGGUACCUAGAUAAGAAGCACCGGCUAACUACGUG
Molecule: ribosomal RNA, 465 nt
Filed under: uncultured bacterium
Lineage: Bacteria
Description: partial 16S ribosomal RNA
Rfam family: Bacterial small subunit ribosomal RNA
Source: RNAcentral